This 481-nucleotide ribosomal RNA is filed under the name uncultured bacterium. RNAcentral describes it as "bacterial SSU rRNA". It matches the Rfam family "Bacterial small subunit ribosomal RNA", at positions 29 to 506 of the family's 1533-position model. The record is from RNAcentral.
AUGAACGCUAGCGGCAGGCCUAAUACAUGCAAGUCGAGGGGCAGCGGGAGUAGCAAUACUUGCCGGCGACCGGCGCACGGGUGCGUAACGCGUAUGCAAUCUACCUAUCACUGGGGCAUAGCCCGGAGAAAUCCGGAUUAAUACCCCAUAAUAAAUUGAGUGGCAUCACUUGAUUUUGAAAGCUCCGGCGGUGAUAGAUGAGCAUGCGUAUGAUUAGCUAGUUGGUGAGGUAACGGCUCACCAAGGCAACGAUCAUUAGGGGUACUGAGAGGUUACACCCCCACACGGAUACUGAGACACGGAUCCGACUCCUACGGGAGGCAGCAGUAAGGAAUAUUGGUCAAUGGAGGCAACUCUGAACCAGCCAUGCCGCGUGCAGGAAGAGGGCGCUACGCGUUGUAAACUGCUUUUGUACGGGAGAAAACCCUUGUUCGUGAACAAGGUUGAUAGUACCGUAAGAAUAAGCAUCGGCUAACUUCGU